AACCACGACAACAACCACGACAACAACUCGGCUAUACGAAAUAGCACGAUAAAAGAAAUACUCACCAAAUUAAACCACAGUAAUACAAAUUUAGGUUUAAUUCAAUAUGUUAGUUUAAUUGAACCAUUACUUGUUUAUUGUUUUUGUUAUGGUAAAGAUGAUGUUUUUAUUUUAUCAUCUACGUGUAUCAAAUUAAUUAAAAAAAAAAAAUAUAGCACUUUUACAAAAUACGGAUCGUUAAUCAUUUUGUCAUCGGUUAAUCUAUUGAAAAAUAUACCAAAUUAUUAUAGUCAAGAAUUUGAUAAACUCAUUCUAUCAUGUAUUGAUACUUUAAUUUAUUUUUUAAAGAGUAAUAAAAGUAGUGACCUAAUUUCUUGGCUUAACUAUCCUAUAUCACACAGAAAUGAAUCCAGUUGUAAUAAUAAUAAUAAUAAUAACAAUAAUAAUAAUAAUAAUAAUAAUGGCGUACGUAACAAUGACUACGACAUAAAUACAACUGACAAGAGUGUACAUAACAGUGACAAUAAAUUAAGAGCAAUCCUUAGGACAAAACAUAAUACAGAGUCAAAAAAGCUAUUAUCGGUAGAAGAUUAUAAAAAAAAUGAAGCACAGAGAAAGAUAAAACAAGAACAAAUAUCCAAAAGAAAAGAAAUAACUAAUAUACUCGAAGAAAAUGUAAUAUCAUUAUAUUAUUCAGAGCAGUGGGAAUAUGAAGAUGAAUAUGAAAUGUAUGAUGAUAGUUCAACUAUACAAUCUUUAAGGUACUGUUUACUAGAUCAAAUAUCUUUAUUAUUAGAUAGUAAGAAUCAUAUAUGGGAACUUUUAUUGCUUUUUAAAAAUUGUUUACUUCGUGAAGAUGUAAAUAACAUUAUUAAAAAUGGUACACUUAUAUUAAAAAUUAAUAACUGUAUUGAACAAAUAUUUUUUAUUAUGAUUCAAGAAGCACAUAAACUAAAAAUAGCUUUUUUAUGUGGUAAAAUAUUUAUCAAUUUUUUAAUACAAUUCCCUAUAUCAUCAACCGAAAAAAAAAAAAAAGUGUUUUUAAUGUUAUCAAAUUUGAAAACAGAACAGGAUGAUGUAAGAAUAGCUAUUUUAAAUGCUUUAUAUUUAUUUUUAAAUAGAGUUAGUCCUAAAUUAUUAAAAGAAGAAUAUUUUCAUGUUAUUUUUAUUACAAUUUUAACAAAUUUCUCAAAUGAAACAAACCAUAAAUGUAAAAAAAUGUUUAUGUUUUUAUUAUCUUUGCUUUUUAAUAAAGUAAAUGAUAUUUAUUUUAUCUUUGAAUCAUAUCAAAUCAUUAAAAAACAGUUAUCCUUCAACUAUUUA
This 1323-nucleotide long non-coding RNA is filed under the name Piliocolobus tephrosceles (Ugandan red Colobus). RNAcentral describes it as "lncRNA (ENSPTEG00000016973.1)". The record is from RNAcentral. Lineage: Eukaryota; Metazoa; Chordata; Mammalia; Primates; Cercopithecidae.